Molecule: ribosomal RNA, 403 nt
Filed under: uncultured bacterium
Lineage: Bacteria
Description: bacterial SSU rRNA
Rfam family: Bacterial small subunit ribosomal RNA
Source: RNAcentral
AGCAGUAGGGAAUAUUGGGCAAUGGAGGCAACUCUGACCCAGCCAUGCCGCGUGCAGGAUGAAGGCGUUAUGCGUUGUAAACUGCUUUUAUAUAGGAAGAAAUAGACCUUGCGAGGUAAGUUGACGGUACUAUAUGAAUAAGCACCGGCUAACUCCGUGCCAGCAGCCGCGGUAAUACGGAGGGUGCAAGCGUUGUCCGGAUUUAUUGGGUUUAAAGGGUGCGUAGGCGGUUUAUUAAGUCAGUGGUGAAAGACGGUCGCUCAACGAUUGCAGUGCCAUUGAUACUGGUAGACUUGAGUGGGAUUGAGGUAGCUGGAAUGGAUAGUGUAGCGGUGAAAUGCAUAGAUAUUAUCCAGAACACCAAUUGCGUAGGCAAGUUACUAAGUCUCAACUGACGCUGAGG